Molecule: ribosomal RNA, 1217 nt
Filed under: metagenome
Description: bacterial SSU rRNA
Rfam family: Bacterial small subunit ribosomal RNA
Source: RNAcentral
AGAGUUUGAUCCUGGCUCAGAACGAACGUUGGCGGCGUGGAUUAGGCAUGCAAGUCGUACGGGAUGCCAGAGCUUGCUCUGGUUAUCUAGUGGCGAACGGGUGAGUAACGCGUGGGAAACCUGCCCUCGAGUUGGGGAUAACACUUCCAACGAGGUGCUAAUACCGAAUAAGACCACAUUUCCGCAUGGUCAUGUGGUCAAAGGUGGCCUCUACUUAGGCUAUCGCUUGAGGAUGGUCCCGCGUCCCAUUAGCUUGUUGGUGGGGUAAUGGCCCACCAAGGCUACGAUGGGUAGCUGGUCUGAGAGGAUGGUCAGCCACACUGGGACUGAGAUACGGCCCAGACUCCUACGGGAGGCAGCAGUCGAGAGGCUUCGGCAAUGGGGGAAACCCUGACCGAGCGACGCCGCGUGCGCGAUGAAGGCCUUCGGGUUGUAAAGCGCUGUCGUGCGGGAAGAAAGGUUCAUCUGCAAACAGUGGAUGGACUAUGACGGUACCGCAAAAGGAAGCUCCGGCUAACUCCGUGCCAGCAGCCGCGGUAAUACGGGGGGAGCAAACGUUGUUCGGAUUUACUGGGCGUAAAGGGCGCGCAGGCGGCCUCGUCAGUGGGAUGUGAAAGGUCCUGGCUUAACCAGGGAAGUGCGUCCCAUACUGCGGGGCUUGAGUGCAGGAGAGGAUGGGGGAAUUCCCGGUGUAGCGGUGAAAUGCAUUGAUAUCGGGAGGAACACCAGUGGCGAAGGCGCCCAUCUGGACUGCUACUGACGCUGAGGCGCGAAAGCUGGGGGAGCAAACAGGAUUAGAUACCCUGGUAGUCCCAGCCGUAAACGGUGAGCACUAGGUGUGGGAGGCAUCGACCCCUUCCGUGCCGCAGCUAACGCAUUAAGUGCUCCGCCUGGGGAGUACGACCGCAAGGUUGAAACUCAAAGGAAUUGACGGGGGCCCGCACAAGCGGUGGAGCAUGUGGUUUAAUUCGAUGCAACGCGAAGAACCUUACCCAGGCUUGACAUGCGCUGGACCGGUGUGGAAACACACCUUCUCCGUAAGGGGCCGGUGCACAGGUGCUGCAUGGCUGUCGUCAGCUCGUGUCGUGAGAUGUUGGGUUAAGUCCCGCAACGAGCGCAACCCUUGUCAUUAGUUGCUAACAAGUAAAGUUGAGCACUCUAGUGAGACUGCCGUCGAUAGGACGGAGGAAGGUGGGGAUGACGUCAAGUCCUCAUGC